UACGUAGGGUGCGAGCGUUGUCCGGAAUUAUUUGGCGUAAAGAGCUUGUAGGCGGUUUGUCGCGUCUGCCGUGAAAAUCCGGGGCUCAACCCCGGACUUGCGGUGGGUACGGGCAGACUAGAGUGUGGUAGGGGAGACUGGAAUUCCUGGUGUAGCGGUGAAAUGCGCAGAUAUCAGGAGGAACACCGAUGGCGAAGGCAGGUCUCUGGGCAUUAACUGACGCUGAGGAGCGAAAGCAUGGGGAGCGAACAGG
RNAcentral lists this ribosomal RNA (253 nucleotides) under uncultured bacterium. RNAcentral's name for it is "partial 16S ribosomal RNA". It matches the Rfam family "Bacterial small subunit ribosomal RNA", at positions 524 to 776 of the family's 1533-position model. The record is from RNAcentral.